CAGCAAGUGACAAGACUGAGGCAGGCAGAGUGGCCGAGCGGGGUAGAGGGGCUGGAGACAGCAGUCAUGUGGAUGUUUUGGCACACAGGGGUCUGAAGGAGCCUGAUUGUUGAAGCAAAACUUCCCGUUUACCUACUGAUUGGAGGGUUUUUGAGCAUCUGGAAGCCAGAACAAAAAUGCUUCUUUCCAUCCUAGACCAUCCAUCCUCCCGCUGACCUUCCAGAUGACUGCAGGUGCAUGAGCACGCCCAGCAGGGAUCAGCUGAGCAAAAUCACCUCGCCGAAUCAUAGGUACAUAGCCACUCUAAGCCACUAAAUUUUGAGCUUAUUAACUUACAGAAAAAACAGCCUGCUUGAUUCAUUUUUGCUAUCUUUGAAGUAGUGGACAUGUAGGGAUGACAAUGAAAUUCAUUUAUUAUUAUGAUUAUUAAACC
RNAcentral lists this long non-coding RNA (433 nucleotides) under Homo sapiens (human). RNAcentral's name for it is "HSALNT0336898". The record is from RNAcentral. Lineage: Eukaryota; Metazoa; Chordata; Mammalia; Primates; Hominidae.